GGCGGUUCUCAGGUGAUGCUCCCCGGAAUCAGGCUCUUUCCUCUCUGAUUCCAGGUACAUCACCCAAGAACUGCA
Molecule: non-coding RNA, 75 nt
Organism: Myotis brandtii (Brandt's bat)
Lineage: Eukaryota; Metazoa; Chordata; Mammalia; Chiroptera; Vespertilionidae
Source: Rfam